GUGCUCACUUUAACAGCACAUAUACUAAAAUUGGAAUGAGACAGAGAAUAUUAGCAUGGCCCCUGCGCAAGGAUGACCCGCAAAUUUGUUUUUGGCUUUUGAGGUUUAU
Suncus etruscus (white-toothed pygmy shrew) is the source of this 109-nucleotide small nuclear RNA. The record is from RefSeq and is a predicted model, not a curated record. Lineage: Eukaryota; Metazoa; Chordata; Mammalia; Eulipotyphla; Soricidae.